Polypterus senegalus (gray bichir) is the source of this 291-nucleotide long non-coding RNA. RefSeq lists it as uncharacterized. The record is from RefSeq and is a predicted model, not a curated record. NCBI's taxonomy places the organism in Eukaryota, Metazoa, Chordata, Cladistia, Polypteriformes, Polypteridae. The transcript has 3 exons.
CUAAUCACCAUGGUUACUGAGUAGGAGCUGACUAAUCAGAGCCUGCUGAAUACAGCGAGGAAGCAUCUCGGCUAAUGGAGAAGAGCUUCUUUGCAGCUUAGCUCUGUCAAGAAAGUUCCUUGGGAACUUGCAUAUGACACACAAAUGGCGCAUCAAAUACUUCACCACUGCUGCAGAUUCUGAUACCUAUACAAAGGUGCAAAAAUUAAAAUAAAACAGCAACAAUUUUCAAACUCUUUGUAUUGAUGAUAUAUCACAUUAAAAAUAUUGCAGUGUGCCAAUAUGUUGUGU